Long non-coding RNA from Symphalangus syndactylus (siamang), 3632 nucleotides. RefSeq lists it as uncharacterized. The record is from RefSeq and is a predicted model, not a curated record. Lineage: Eukaryota; Metazoa; Chordata; Mammalia; Primates; Hylobatidae.
GUGGGGCGGCUGACGCUCGGGGAGACACAGACGUGGAGGACGCCACGGCCGCCUCGCCCCCGGGGCUCCUGGAGUGAGGCUGGCUGAGGAGCCGAGCAGAUGGUGCAGCUGAGCGUUUCCUGCCUGGGCGGGAGGAGGUGGGGUUGCCGCCGGCAGGGCCUGUGACUGUGAGUGCGGCUCACUGAGCAGCUGAUGUGGGGGGUUGGGGGGGCGCGGAUUACACCAUGUGUGACGGCAGAGCGGGGACAACGUGUUGAGAGACGUGGCCUGGGAUGUAAGGAAGGGUCGUGAGAAAAUACGCAGGAAGAGAUACCCCGUGGGCAUGUUUCCCUUGGAAAGUGGAUGGAACCCUCUGAGCCGUGAUUCCGCCUGAAUGAAGCAGUGGCGGGCACUGGCCUGGCAAGCGGCUUCCGCUGCCUUGGAUUUGCACCUCUAAGGGGUCACAGGGGCCACCCCUGAAGCAAGACAAAGUGUGAUCAUCAACAGGCCCUCGGGGGGCCAGAAGAAGGAACGGCUCCAGUGAUGAAGGCUGAACGCCACCUGUCUCCCCAUCGUUCUCCCGGCACAAGAGAGGGCUGCUCGGCAGGGCUGGGUUUAAAAACCUUCCAUGCAACCCUCAAAGGCAUCCACAGUGACUUCUGCUGCUGUGGUACGUUCUGCCCUCCCCUCCUCCCCACCCCAUCCUAUUCUCGGCUACAAGUUAUUUAUAUGUAUAGUGUCAUCUGAACGUGCAUGGGCCGAUCCCAGGACACGACACACAAAGAGGCUGCGGUGAACCCAAGCCGCCAGGCUGGCCUGUGGCUCAGUGUCUGUUCCAGAAGUCCCCGCCCCAGGCAGCUCUCCUGAACACGGCCACAGGAGGAUCAGGACCACAGCCCAAACCACUGUGACAGAAAACACCCUACAGGGCUUGAGAACUAAAAACUAAGGAGGGAUCUGGGCAGCCGAGCUGCCUCCUAAAGAAGCCACGUCGUAGAGAAAACUGCUUGCUCUAUCUGUGUGAGGCGGAGGCAGCCGGGGUGUUCUGCCAGCAGACACGGGUCUGUCCAUCACCGGCCACUGCGCUGCCUCUGUCCUUCACUCCCAUUUAAGGGAAAACGAUAUCUCUUCAUCUUUCUGCCCUGGACGUUGGAAAUCAGCGGUGAGAACAGUGCUCUUCCUAUAAGAUGCUCAGGUUCUAGAAUUCUCCCGUCUUUCCUUCUAUUCCACAUGGAGUUUAUCCAAAGGACAAAGGCCAGUCAUGGCACUGACAUUCGUGAUGCCCGCUCACCGGGGAGUGGGAAACAGAAGCCUGUCCUCAGAGGACUGUGACUGGGAGCCCGCAGCUGCUUGUGGGUGGGGCCAGCCCGCAGCUCCUCCUGGAGGCCCCAGGCUUCUUGCCCCUGCAUUUCUGUGACAUGUGGAGGGAGGAUCGUUUUGACACCUGCCUGGGAAGUUUCAAAGGAGAUGGCCUCUGGGCAGGGGUUUUAAACUGAAGGGCACCACACAGAUCCAGAUGUGAACUGUGGCUGUUGUUUGCAAUUGAAGCAGAGAUGCAGAGGAUGGAAGAGGAGUGCCAGCCACGCUGCUCUAUGGCCUUGGCCCAGCUAAGACCCCCCAGUCAAUGGGGUUACGGGACCCCCACUACACAGGGACCUGGGAACCACCUUUGCCGUGGUCGACUGCUGGGCCUGCCAUGCACCGCCCACACCUGGCUGUGCCUGGAGACCGAGAGCAGGGGGUGACGGUGGGCCUGGCGUGCGGAGUCCUGCAGCGGGAAGAGUGGGAGGGGAGGUGGGAGAGCACAGUCAUCCAGGGGUCCCCACGUGGGCUUGUACAGGCCUGAGCGAGCCCCCACUUUAUGGGUGAGAAAACCAAGGCACGGAGAGGUGAAUGAGUGUGGUAUCAAUGCCGCUAAGACAGAAGUGAGGCGGGAAAGCCUGUCCUCGCGAGGGGUGGCCCUGUCUCCGGCUCCCAGGUGCCUCCCGCUCAUCUGCCCGAGGCUCCUGGGGAUGUGGCUCUUGGGUUUCAGGAGGGCCCUGCUCCUCCUGUGGGAACCACAGACACGUGUGUGCCCACGUGCCCUGAGCUCACACACACACCAUGGUGCAUGGGCAGGGAAGCAGCGCUCCUAGCUACCCGGUGAGCAUCUUUGCUUUCCUUCUGCUCUAAGUAGGCACCCAAGGAAUACACGCAUUCACUCAGAGCCUGAUUCACGUGCCUGGGAUAACACCGCGGGGAAAGGUUCUCACACAGUGGCUGCCAUGAGGAUCCAUGACAAGAGCCCAGGGAGGUCUCUGCUCAGCAUGGGGUUGAGGAAGAGUCUCUCCCUUUUGCAAAUGCCAGCCACAGAGGUUUGUUUUUCUCCCUGAGAGAAGGAAGAGUAAAGGCUGAGACUGAGACAGAAGGACAGAAGGAGAAGACUUAGAAGCCAGCGAGCCCGGAGCCAUGAGACGCGCGCCGAGGACACGGGGCCUUGGGGAAACCGGGCACGGGCAGGGGUUGGUCUUGGCUUCGCCGCAACAUUGCCGCUAGCUCGGGUGCCGUCUCCACUCGCAGGCUGGCCUGUCCUCUGCAGCCACGAGCUCAGGCACCGUCUCCAUUCAUAGGCCGGCCUGUUCUCUGCAGUCUGCGGUCCCUGUGGUGCCAACAUCCAGAUGCUGAGAUAAUUCUGCCAGGGUGUUGGCUGAUCGGUGAUUGGUGGUUGGCUGUUCUGUGAGUUCUGCAUUGAUCUUGCUGGCUGAGCAGGCGAUGCAGAUGGGCAGGCACUGUUAGGGUCUCUGCUCCCAUCCCUCUCCCCAGGACUCAUCACCCACCGCAACCGUAAGCUGCUAGGGGCUCACAGCCUUGAGUCUUUGGGAGGGGACCCGCCUGGCAUGCAGCUCAGGCUCCCAGCCCCAGGACCCGGCCGCCGCUCCCCUCCCGCCUGCAUCUUGGCUUAGCCGUCUUCCCUGGCUGCCAGCCUCUUCCCCUGGUCUUAGUUGGCUUGGGCCACUAAACUGAAAUAGCACACCCCGAGGCCUUCAACAGCAGACCUGAUUUCUCACCAUCUGGAGGCUGGAGGUCCAGGAUCCAGGCCCCCAAGGCUGCUCUCCCCCACUCCCCCACCCGGCCCCCAAGACGCACAGACUCCAUCCUCUUGCUGCCCUGUCUCAGGGCUGUCCCUCUGGGCAAGCAGGCCCCUGGCAUCGCCGUGUGUCCUCUCCUCCUGUUCUUAUAAGGACACCAGUCAUACUGGAUCCGGGCCCACCCUAGUGACCUCAUUUACCUUAAUCACCUCUUGAAAGACCUUGUCUCAACAACAGCCACAUUCGGGGCACUGAGGGUUAGGGCUUUAACAUGGGAAUUUGAGGGAUGCAAUUCACCCCAUAAAACCCAGACCGUUCCCCCCAAUAAAUCACUUUCACAAGAGCUCUUCUCUCAGGCUUUGCUUCUGGGGGAUCCCCCUUGAGAUGGAUCCAUCUAGCUUCCUGCUUCUCAAAGAACGGAGGGGAGACCCCUGGUGUGAAGGGAACGGGUGGCCUCGGGGACCUGCGGAUAAGCUGCUGGCACUGCCAGGGGACAGGCUGAGCCAAAAGCCAGGAGGAGGGCGGCAAGGCUCGGGGCUGGACCUCAUUCUUCUGAGUAUUAUAAAAUCUGGCUUUGCUCAGAAA